UUUAAACAUAAAGAAAUAUUUGGAAGAUUUAAUAUCAACUUUGCAGCAUUUCAGGUUAAUUAGACACGAACUUGCAGGGAAAUGCUGUUUAUAUAGUUCCAAACAUAACCUAGAUGCCGAUGCAGUAUGCUCAGGCCUAGCCCUAGACCGUUUUGGGUCAAGUAAACUGGAACUGGACAGGGUUGAUAAGGUGAAACGUUCUAUACGUAACCGUUCACCUGGUCAGCUCGGCUCUGAUUAAAAUAGCAUACUUUGCCUAAUUGGAUCCCGUAGAAGUCGCUAUACAGCGUUAUUCCAAACCAUUUCUGCCCAAUUCUAUGUUACAGCAGGCCUCAUUCUGAUAUUCUAGGGGUGAGGAUGGUAAUCUGUGGCCCACUAAACUCUAUCAUUCGACAUAUGGUAUUCGGGCACGGGCUAGAUAAGAUACGUCGCUAAUAACGCAUCGACCAAUUUAUCCUAGAAAAUUAGCCCAAGCAUUAACACCAUAGCUGUGUCGAAACCAACCGUUCCAAGAACAACAACGCAACGUCGAAUUGAUCACAUGAAAUUUCCAUGUAACUAUUCCAAACAUCUCGAGGAAAAUAGAAUCUAUUGAUCCAUACCAAAAAUUGGAAGUGUACCUUGUAAACUUGUUGCGGAUGCAGUGGAAUGACCAUCAGGUUGAGACAUGUGUAGAUUAUGGAUGUUGAUCCACUGAAAUGGAGGUUGAAUAAUCAGGUUGAGACAUGGAUUAUGUAUAUUGAUACGUAUUGAUCCACUGCAAUGGAAGUUGAAUAAUCAGAUUGAGAUCUAGUAAACUUCAUAUAGAUGCAUUCGAAUACCCAAUUGAUUAAGAGGUAGAAUAUAUAUUUAUUCACUGAUACACUACAAUGACCAUUAGGUUGAGACCUAGUUACAUUGAUUCAUUAUAAUGUCCAUCAGAUUUAGACAUAAACUGUGUAUUUUGAUUCACCGUAAUAACCAUUAAUUUGUGACAUAAGGUUGGGACCUACCAAACUUCAUAUAGAUGCAUUCCCAUGGCUAAUAGAUUGAGACAUAGCACAUAUAUAUAUAUAUUGAUUCAUUGUAAUGUGCAUCAGGUUGAGACAUAAGCUACGUUGAGAUCUAAGUGUACCGAUAAACCUUUAGCUUGUAAAGCCACAUAGUUAAUUCCUACACUUAAUACAAACAAAGAAACAUGGUCUAAAGCGCUGCAACAUUAAAUGAACCAUGUUUAUUUGUAAGCGUGCUACGAUCAGCUAGGAUAACUGAAGGAAAAUUGAAAAAACGUGUCAGCAGCUGACACGUUGACUUAGGCUUGCUUAGAGUGCCCGAGGCGACACAGCUUCGUGUCACGGUGCGAUGAAGACAAGAAACUGACAGAACAUUUUCUCGCGCUGCAUUGUAGGUCGUCACGGAAGCGUAGCGACGUCUAUGCGUGCAGCGUACUAAGAAUAGUGGGAACGACGCCUAGACCUUGGGAAUUCAAGGUUUCGACGGAGCAACGGCGAAUCUUCUCCGAUACCCAAAAUCGUCGCGCCACGCAAUGCGAAUCCUUCUUUGGGGAAAUGUUGAAAAGAGGUAACGAGACAAACAUAUAGACAAAAUUCAGAUUUAUUCGAAGAAUUUUUCCAUAUCAUUAAAAAUAACAAGGACAUUUCAGAUUUAACUCUCCUUUAUUUUUUGACAAUCACUUCUCUCAAGGUCACCUGAAGGUUAAUAUAUUAUACAUGUCUGAAUUUCUCUUUUGAUCAGCUACAAUACUGUAAUAUUAAAAGUAUCCUGUUCCAUUUAAGAAAAACAUUCAUGACCUUGAAAUUUCAGAAAAUACGACCUUGAAAUAUUUUUUUGUGCACAUGGAAAUAUUCUUCCUUAGAAACUGAAGAAUUUCUGUCGGAACAAUUUUUCCAUAUCAUUAAAAAUAACGCAGAUACUUCAACUCUCCUUGAUUCUUUAACAAUAACUCCUCUCAAGGUCACCUCAAGGUCACCUGAAGGUCACCCGGAGGUCGCCUUAUUAUACACCUUUGAAUUCGUCUUUUUAUCACCUACAAGCCUACUAUAUUGAAAAUACCUAGUUCCAUUUAAGAAAAACAUUGAUGACCUUGAAAUUUAAUCAAAUAUGACCUUGUAAUAUUUUUUGUGCACAUGGUAAUAUUCUCCCUCAGAAAC
Long non-coding RNA from Hylaeus volcanicus, 2150 nucleotides. RefSeq lists it as uncharacterized. The record is from RefSeq and is a predicted model, not a curated record. Lineage: Eukaryota; Metazoa; Arthropoda; Insecta; Hymenoptera; Colletidae. The transcript is spliced from 4 exons.